AUUGAACGCUGGCGGCAGGCCUAACACAUGCAAGUCGAACGAUUGGCGGACGGGUGAGUAAUGUCUGGGAAACUGCCUGAUGGAGGUGGAUAACUACUCGAACCGGUAGCUAAUACCGCAUACCAUCGGAUGUGCCCAGAUGGGAUUAGCUAGUAGGUGGGGUAAAGGCUCACCUAGGCGACGAUCCCUCGCUGGUCUGAGAGGAUGACGAGCGACACUGGAACUGAGACACGGUCAAGACUCGUACGGGAGGCAGAAGUGGGGAAUAUUGCACAAUGGGCGCAAGCCUGAUGAAGCCAUGCCGAGUGUAUGAAGAAGGCCUUCGGGUUGUAAAGUACUUUCAGCGGGGAGGCGUUACCCGCAGAAGAAGCACCGGCUAACUCCGUGCCAGCAGCCGCGGUAAUAC
RNAcentral lists this ribosomal RNA (406 nucleotides) under uncultured bacterium. RNAcentral's name for it is "partial 16S ribosomal RNA". It matches the Rfam family "Bacterial small subunit ribosomal RNA", at positions 30 to 526 of the family's 1533-position model. The record is from RNAcentral.